GACGGGGGAUGCAAGUGUUAUCCGGGAUCACUGGGCGUAAAGCGUCUGUAGGUGGUCAAAUAAGUCAACUGUUAAAUCUUGAGGCUCAACCUCAAAAUCGCAGUCGAAACUAUUCGACUAGAGUAUAGUAGGGGUAAAGGGAAUUUCCAGUGGAGCGGUGAAAUGCGUAGAGAUUGGAAAGAACACCGAUGGCGAAGGCACUUUACUGGGCUAUUACUAACACUGAGAGACGAAAGCUAGGGUAGCAAAUGGG
RNAcentral lists this ribosomal RNA (253 nucleotides) under uncultured bacterium. RNAcentral describes it as "partial 16S ribosomal RNA". It matches the Rfam family "Bacterial small subunit ribosomal RNA", at positions 524 to 776 of the family's 1533-position model. The record is from RNAcentral.